This 1264-nucleotide ribosomal RNA is filed under the name uncultured archaeon. RNAcentral's name for it is "bacterial SSU rRNA". It matches the Rfam family "Archaeal small subunit ribosomal RNA", at positions 88 to 1347 of the family's 1478-position model. The record is from RNAcentral.
GCUCAGUAACACGUGGAUAACCUACCCUUAGGACCGGGAUAGCCCUGGGAAACUGGGGCUAAUACUGGAUAGAUGAUUUUUCCUGUAAUGGUUUUUUGUUUAAAUGUUUUUUUUCGCCUAAGGAUGGGUCUGCGGCCGAUUAGGUAGUUGGUUAGGUAAUGGCUUACCAAGCCUUUGAUCGGUACGGGUUGUGGGAGCAAGAGCCCGGAGAUGGAACCUGAGACAAGGUUCCAGGCCCUACGGGGUGCAGCAGGCGCGAAACCUCCGCAAUGUGAGAAAUCGCGACGGGGGGAUCCCAAGUGCCAUUCUUAACGGGAUGGCUUUUCUUUAGUGUAAAGAGCUUUUGGAAUAAGAGCUGGGCAAGACCGGUGCCAGCCGCCGCGGUAACACCGGCAGCUCUAGUGGUAGCAAUUUUUAUUGGGCCUAAAGCGUCCGUAGCCGGUUUAAUAAGUCUCUGGUGAAAUCCUGUAGCUUAACUGUGGGAAUUGCUGGAGAUACUAUUAGACUUGAGACCGGGAGAGGUUAGAGGUACUCCCAGGGUAGAGGUGAAAUUCUGUAAUCCUGGGAGGACCGCCUGUUGCGAAGGCGUCUAACUGGAACGGUUUCUGACGGUGAGGGACGAAAGUUARGGGCGCGAACCGGAUUAGAUACCCGGGUAGUCCUAACUGUAAACGAUGCGGACUUGGUGUUGGGGUGGCUUUGAGCUGCUUCAGUGCCGAAGGGAAGCUGUUAAGUCCGCCGCCUGGGAAGUACGGUCGCAAGACUGAAACUUAAGGAAUUGGCGGGGGAGCACCACAACACGUGGAGCCUGCGGUUUAAUUGGAUUCAACGCCGGACAUCUCACCAGAGGCGACAGCUGUAUGAUAGCCAGGUUGAUGACUUUGCUUGACUAGCUGAGAGGAGGUGCAUGGCCGCCGUCAGCUCGUACCGUGAGGCGUCCUGUUAAGUCAGGCAACGAGCGAGACCCACGCCCUUAGUUACCAGCUUAUCCUUUUUUGGAUGAUGGGCACACUAAGGGGACCGCCUAUGAUAAAUAGGAGGAAGGAGUGGACGACGGUAGGUCCGUAUGCCCCGAAUCCUCUGGGCAACACGCGGGCUACAAUGGCUAAGACAAUGGGUUCCGACACCGAAAGGUGGAGGUAAUCCUCUAAACUUAGUCGUAGUUCGGAUUGAGGACUGUAACUCGUUCUCAUGAAGCUGGAAUGUGUAGUAAUCGCGUAUCACUAUUGCGCGGUGAAUACGUCCCUGCUCCUUGCACACACCG